GAUGAACGCUGGCGGCGUGCCUAAUACAUGCAAGUCGAACGCUUCACUUCGGUGAAGAGUGGCGAACGGGUGAGUAAUACAUAAGUAACCUGGCAUCUACAGGGGGAUAACUGAUGGAAACGUCAGCUAAGACCGCAUAGGUGUAGAGAUCGCAUGAACUCUAUAUGAAAAGUGCUACGGGACUGGUAGAUGAUGGACUUAUGGCGCAUUAGCUGGUUGGUAGGGUAACGGCCUACCAAGGCGACGAUGCGUAGCCGACCUGAGAGGGUGACCGGCCACACUGGGACUGAGACACGGCCCAGACUCCUACGGGAGGCAGCAGUAGGGAAUUUUCGGCAAUGGGGGAAACCCUGACCGAGCAACGCCGCGUGAAGGAAGAAGUAAUUCGUUAUGUAAACUUCUGUCAUAGAGGAAGAACGGUGGAUAUAGGGAAUGAUAUCCAAGUGACGGUACUCUAUAAGAAAGCCACG
RNAcentral lists this ribosomal RNA (470 nucleotides) under uncultured bacterium. RNAcentral describes it as "bacterial SSU rRNA". It matches the Rfam family "Bacterial small subunit ribosomal RNA", at positions 28 to 495 of the family's 1533-position model. The record is from RNAcentral.